AGAUCGGCAUGAACCAAGAACUGGGUUUCAUAUAAAAUAUUUUAUUCUGUCCUCUUGAGAUGUGACAUGAGAAAAGUAUUGAGAAUACUUCUAUCACCUCAUCUUCAAGAAUCCGUAGGAAUUCUCCCAUGGUGGACUUUACGGUUAACCUGAACAGGUCUUGGAAAAAGGACUUUAAACAUUCUCCUGUUCUGUGGAAUAAGUAUACUUUUUUCUGGACAUACACCUUGUCAGUGAGUUCCAUGUGAUACUAGAGUUGCAUAGAUUUUUAACCUUUACGCCAAUGAAGAUCUGAGGCAAACAUUGCCCCUUUUUUAGAAGUUUGCAUUUGUCACUGAUAACUGUAAUAAUUGAUCUUGUUGAAAAGCCUGGGAAAUGAAGAUCUGAUAUGUCACUUUUACCGGCUUCCUCAACUGAAAAAGAAUACAAUGAAACACGCUGAGAAUUUUUGUGCUUUCUCAGUCUUGCUGAUGAUCUUUCUAUGGGCCUGAAGCGUGGAGAGUGCCAGAGAGGCUGAUCCUCAGCAGUGUGGCAGAGGAAAGUUGGGUGCGACUAAGGGGUAUGCGGUGCCCACAUGCCACUGGGUCCUCAGCAGUACCACCUGGUGAGCGUCACUCUUGAGAGCUGAGAGUAGGUGGGAAGCAGCUCAUGGUGAGAGGGUUCAGAGGCCGCCUUUCCCUCUCUGCGCACUGCCCAGUUCUUCUAGUCACAUGUCCCGGGACAGUACCAUACCUGUGUGUGUCCUGCCUGCAUUGCUGUGACCACUUUUAGUGGAAUCAGGUGCAGUGCAGCUCUGCAGCUUCUGCAAAUUGCCACGCUCCCACUCUCAAGCAGGUUGAGUGCUACGAGUGAUUUUUAGACCAUUUGUUUAUUCCCUUAUCAUGGCUUUUUGUGACUUCUUCCUCCCCAGUCCGUUGGGUCACCUUUAAAGGUAAAGUAAUCCUGAGGUGGUUGAAUUUACGGAAAUGCUAUGCAUUAUUGUGAAUGGGAUGUUCACCGGGCCAACAUCUUCUUGGAACUUUGAGCAAACUGAUAGUCUGGUUGCACAUUUGAUUUGUCUGGCAGUAAAUGUUGGACAGUAUUUGGACUGAUGGAAGCUAGAGACAAACACAUUGACUAUUGUUGAAUAACACUGGAAACAUCUUAGGAGAGCAGUACAUUAGCUAAUUUAAUAGGUACAUAAACUGAAUCCCACUGUCUUGUGCUUGACGGACCAGCAGACACAUAUGCUUGUAUCGUUCUCAUGUUUCUACAUGUUUACCCUAUUCCCACAGGUCAACAAAGACAAGGCACCUAGCCCCACAUGAAACUUUAUUCCUUUCCCUUUUGAGAUGUGACAUGAAAGAAAAUAACAGAAAUGAUUUUUCCAUCCCAUCCUCAGGGACCAGUGGGAAUGAAUUUUACCAUCCCACCCUCAAGGGCCAGGUCAGGUCGCUAAGCAUUUUGUCACUAAAAUAUUGCCCUUUUUUAGGGAUUAUGUAAUACUCUAUAAGGCACUGUCUGUGCUGGGCAGCAUGGAGCCUGGGUCAUUGCUGUGUUGGGGGCUUGGUCUCCAUGACUUAAUAGGGUGUAUCAGUGUGUCCCAGAGAAGUGUACUCCAGAGUGCUCAUUUUCUUUCAUGUUUCUGAAGCAAACAGUGCCCCCUUUUUUAGAAGUUUGCAUGUGUCACUGAUAACUUUAAUAAUUGAUCUUGUUGAAAAACCUGGGAAAACAGUGAGUUAAAUAAUAACUUCUCUGAACAUGAGGUCCAGCCCAAUUACCUGCCCUAAGCAAACUAUAUGGAAGGAGAGUUCAGUUUGUUCAGCUAUGUGGUCCCAGCAAGGACUGUGGUACUGGAAAACUAACCAGCUUACAUGCACUAGAGAAGUAGAAUUGGACAGUGAUCUGUAGGUACCCAGUUUGGAGAUGAAAUUGCAACUCUGAGUUCUUGAUUGGCAACAUAAAUACGUUGAUAGUAAACAGACCCUGGGGAAUCAGCACUUGAGUUGUGAAAAGCGGGAAAUAGCUAUGCCUACACUAGAGCCAUUCACACUUUUGCUGGAGCUGCAAUAAUCUUCUAAGUCAUGCUUGCUCUCGUGAGGGCAAUGAGAUGGUCACAAUCCAAGGAGAGUUGGGGUUUUCACUUUUCAUUUCUCUAUUAAGUGAAAAAA
This is a long non-coding RNA of Homo sapiens (human), 2150 nucleotides long. Ensembl annotates it as small nucleolar RNA host gene 14. Its record names the gene SNHG14. The record is from Ensembl. Lineage: Eukaryota; Metazoa; Chordata; Mammalia; Primates; Hominidae.